AUUGGUGGUUAAAAUGAAGCUUUGACAGUUUAGCAACAGGUUUUGCACAAAUUAGCCAAAAAGACAGUGGUGCAGGACUUAGGGGUGUGCGAUAUAU
Molecule: long non-coding RNA, 97 nt
Organism: Sinocyclocheilus rhinocerous
Lineage: Eukaryota; Metazoa; Chordata; Actinopteri; Cypriniformes; Cyprinidae
Exons: 3
Source: RefSeq, a predicted model, not a curated record